AAUAAUAUAGGAACAUCGAUCAUAUUGGCUAAAAUAUAACUGAUAGCCAAUUGUUAGAUCUUUGCCCCAAAUAAGUAUUGGCAACGUACAGCGCUUUAUCCACUAUUGAAUAAGUGAAUCAGAGACUCUAAUUUAUUGCCUUUAUAAAGCUAACCAAGUUAAAAACCACAAAUCCGAAGAUAACCAGAAUGAGCGAAACAUGUAAGGGCUUUUGAAUGCACAUGGAACUAUCAAACCUAGACCAAGUGCCAGAAUAUCGCCUUAUCUAUUUCGGCAACGUACAGCGCUUUAUCCACUAUUGACAUAAGUGAAUCAGAGACUCUAAUUUGUUGCCUUUUGUAUCACCAAACUACGAUUUCAGGAAGAAAAAAACAUAGCAGAUUUCAAACAAACUAGGCUCAGAUUAUAAAAAGAAGUAUACAUCAACGAGGUAUGAAUCUCUCAAAGUUUGAUGGUAAUCUUGUUUCAUCAUCAGCGCCUAAUACAGUUGAAC
This 493-nucleotide long non-coding RNA is filed under the name Arabidopsis lyrata. Its description in RNAcentral is "long non-coding RNA (ALYR_LNC002910)". The record is from RNAcentral. Lineage: Eukaryota; Viridiplantae; Streptophyta; Magnoliopsida; Brassicales; Brassicaceae.